Mustela lutreola (European mink) is the source of this 779-nucleotide long non-coding RNA. RefSeq lists it as uncharacterized. The transcript is spliced from 3 exons. The record is from RefSeq and is a predicted model, not a curated record. NCBI's taxonomy places the organism in Eukaryota, Metazoa, Chordata, Mammalia, Carnivora, Mustelidae.
GCGGAGGCAGCGCCUCCGUGUGCCCGGCCGCGGCGCAUCUCCCCGCCGGCGUCAGGGAGGCGCGGGCCGGGCCAGGUGCACACGGCCACGCGGGGACCGGGUCGGCCGCGCACAUUCAGACCCAGGAGCGCCUGACAAGUACGCCCCGACUGAGCCCGGUACAGUCACGGUCGCGCUGAAUGAAUCAGGUACCCAGAGGUCGAUCCACCCACCGCUGGAGGCCCAUAGUGUGAACUUGCCAAUCAGCAAACGAGGCUCCACGCUGCCCAGAAGGGCUGUGGACUCAGCAUGGCAGAGAUGGGGGACUGGGGCACCGGGCUCAGGACGGGACAGAGACUUGCUGCAGCUACUGGAAGAGGACAUGCUUAUUUCAGGGGGUGGGGUGUUGGGGGGAAGCCUGGAAUCUCAAAGGGGUCACUUUGGGUCUAGAACUGGUAGGAGCCUUCAACAAAAUGGCAGAGUCUGGAGUCAGCCCGGCCUGACUCAGGUCUGAGUCCUUUCUCUACUGUGCACUAGCUCUUUGACCAUGGGCAUGAGACUUUACCUCCUUGAGCCUCAAGUUCCUGAUCUGCAGAAUGGGGUAAUAAUAGGGCUUAUUCCAAAAGAUUUUUGUAAAGAUUUACUGGAGGAGUAAUGUAUACAAUUGUUGAAUCACUAUAGUGUCCACAUGAACCUAGUAUAACACCGUAUAUUAACUAUAUUGGAAUUAAAAUAAAAAACAUAAUAGUAAUAAUAAGAGAUUUCCUGGGAAAAAAUACCAAGUAAAGCAUUUUGCUUGA